Molecule: non-coding RNA, 70 nt
Organism: Dipodomys ordii (Ord's kangaroo rat)
Lineage: Eukaryota; Metazoa; Chordata; Mammalia; Rodentia; Heteromyidae
Source: Rfam
GGGAAUGUGGCUUAGUGGUAGAGUGCUUGCCUAGCAUGCAUGAAGCCCUGGGUUCGAUUCCUUAGUACCA